AGAAAACCAGUAAAGUGAAGAACACUUCAUUUCCGUGAAUACUCUUAGGUCCCCUCCCCCCUAUAACAAAGUUUGGAAGGACAUCUUUUCUACCCCUUUUCUUAUCAUUUGUUCCCAAAAUGAACUUUAGAGGACAUGUUGUUUUUGGUCCAUUUGUUAUUAUUCUUUCUUCCCCUCAAUCUGCAGUAGCCCAUUUUCAGAGAUGACAAGGCAGAAUGUAAAGAAAUUCCAUGUGAACAUCAUUGAACCAGCUGAUUGGUUGAAAUAAAGAUGUCUGAUUUUCUUCAAAUUUGGUAUAUAGAUGAAUUAUUUCAAAUUAUGCAAAGACUAUCAUUACUUCAAUUUUAAUGAUAUGACAAGAUGACCAGUUUCCUGGCUUUCUGAUUGGUUGGAAUUCAGCUAAGUCCAAUAUUGACGGAUCAUACAUCUGUAAUGGUCCCCAUCACAACAAGGACUUUUUUUGGCAGUUGAUUCAAACAACUCAAUGUCAAGGAUUUGAACUUGUGAGGGAAACAAAAGAAAACAAGUCCUUGUUUCAUGAACCUAGCUGUCAAGGAUUUGCAUCGCCAGCUCGUGCAAUAAAUAGAAAUCUCUAAAAGUAUGAGUGAUUUGCAUGACUCUGAUUUACAGAAAGGACAACACCAGAAGACGUUUAUAAACCCAGUUUAAUACAAAAAUAUGCAGUGUUUCAACAGGGAACAAAAUAAAAAAUAAGUCUUCCCUUAUGUGACAAAUACAAUCAGAAACUUAGAAAUGAGUGUAACCUUUUACCUCUAUUCUCUUUUCUAACUAACAGGAGAAUAACAUCUUGCGAUUAUAUAGCAGAACCAGAGAUGUACCGACUAGUCAUGAACUGUCACCAUUUGUAACGUUUUCAUGUUUGAUAAGGAAGACGGAGCAGCAACAUCUAGAUUACGUUCUUUGUUAAUGGUUAAUCUUUUCAAUGGCUAAGCCAGUUAUCAUCAGAGCCACAUAACCAGCUGAAACCUUUAAACUGUAAGUAAUCUAUGGAGUCUAGAUGUUGUUACCCCAUCCUUCUUAUUAUCUGUGUUUACUUUCCAUUUGGUAUCCAUCGUAGGUUCCUACUACCAUCUACUGACGACCUAAGACAUAUUUUCCGCAGCGCUGGUUCUCUUCUCCACUUGUGUACACAUUUUUUUUUAUGUUUAUAGCAUUUUACCUUUUUUGUCCCAAGCAAUUAUCAAAAGGUUAAAAAGGAAUUUACUUCUGAUCUCGUUAUAUCAAUGAAAAAUUCACAAAAAGAGGUUUUGAUUACAGGAACACUUACGUGAAGUAUGUACCGGUGCAGAGAGGUUAAGGGUCGUAAUAUAAUAUCUAAAAUAAUAAACAAACAAAACAAGGUUAAAUUCAGCUGGAUAUGGUAGUUUGCUUAAAACCCUAAAAAUAGUCAUUCCACACAACAACAAAAAGUGGUUACACCAGAUAUAUAUAUACAAAAUGUACAGAAUCAAUGUGAAGAUUUAAAAUAGAACACUAACCAGCACAAAUAUACUCAAGUACGUAUGUAUACUACAAUACAAAGAUGUACUGACAAAUGAGCACAAUCCUAUAUACUUGAGUACCAUAAGAGCUGUACUAACGAGCACGACCUUGUACUCAAGUACCACAAGAGCUGUACUAACGAGUACCACAAGAGCUGUACUAACGAGUACCACAAGAGCUUUAUCGUGCGACAACAAUCCUAUACUAUGAACGACAAUACAAUAAUUGUACAUAAAAUACACAAAAUAAUUCUUAUAAUAAAAGGAAACUUUUUGUGUAAUAAAACACCUCAUACAAAAUGUUAAUACAAAGUAGUGUUACAAAAAGUAUGCUAGGACAUCAAUAAUUCUAUGAAAUGUGAAUCCCUGUUUACUGCUGGUUUAUUUCAUCACCCAAAGCCCUUACUUCAUUUGGAUAACUUCACAAAGGGGAAUAAUCCUGUGGGAUGCAACAUCACAUCGUUUUCAUGUUAUGGAAGAGAUAAAAUAUCAAAAAAAAUAAUGAUUAUGAUUUUAUUUUUGAUAUUCAGUAAAACCUCAAUAUAAUACUCCUCAUUUCAUCUGACAUCUUGCUUAAUAUUAAAGAAUUCUUUACAAAUUUUAUCUAUUUAUAGCAAAACCCCAUUUUAAUGCCACUAUUUUCUGGGCCCUUAAUUUUCUUGUAUCCGGUUCAACUGGUUUGUCUGUUUUUAAAUGUAACAUUUUCGUAUAUAUAUCCUGGCAGACCUGCAAAGGUUUAUGCAGGCCUUGGUCCGACCUUAUAAACGAAUAAUUCUGGUACAACUGUUUGGAUAAACGAAUGCGGCCUUGGAAAAUAGUGGCAUUAUAAAGCGGUUUUACUGCAUUCUUCUAAAUUUGUUCUCAAAUAUGACCUACUUAAUUGUGAUAAUCGUUCCUGAUGAAUAUAAAAUAAUUAAGGAAUCAAUCACUACUUGUUACAUAUCGCCCCUUUACAUCAAACAUACAUAAGAAAUUUAAGAUAAUAGCGAAAUCUCAUUAAAACCUCCAGUGUACAAAAAAGCUAAAUGACAUUUGAUGAGGAGUAUUUAUCAGUCACUAAAAGACUUAUAUUAGAUAUUACUGCUGGUCUCAUAACUUCUCACAAGGAAUUUGAUAUCAUAUGUGCUGCCUAUCAUAUUAAAACCAGUACUUUUUCUAAUCCACAUUUAUAUGAUAUUUUUCUUUUUUCUGUAUUUUCCUCAAAAGGAAUGUUGACCUGGGCCCAGUUGUUCAAAAGGUGAUUAGCUUAAUCACUGUUUAACGAUAUUUUUCAACCUUUAAUAAUUGUGUCAAUAAACAAGAUACAAUCUCAUAAUUUUGCAUGUAAAUUCACUCUACUAAAUAGAUGAUAUCUGUAAAGUUGUACCUAAUUCAGUAGUUUUGUUUUGAAGUAACAUAAAAAUUAAAAUUUGCGCUAAUCACCGUUUGAACAACUGGGCCCAGGUGGGUUUUCUCUGCAGCUAUGGGGACUCGGGUUUCCCUCUACAUUUAGACCCGCGUCACUCCUAUGGGAUUCCACUGGUGCCACAAAGUGAUAGAUAUAGUGAGUUAACUUGGACCUAAAUUCGGUGAUUUGACAAAAUUUUGGAUGUCGGAAAAUGUUAGAAUUUAGAAUAUGAAUAACCAGAUUAAUUUCAUAUUUGCGGACAUAUAUAUCGUGGUUUUACAACAAAAUAUUUGUUUCACAAGUGAUGCUCCAAGUCACCAGUAAACUCAAACUGUGACAGUAAAACCACCAAUACGUCUGUCAAAAAUCUGAAAUACAAGAUUAUUCCCUAAUUUAAGAUAAACAUACUUAACUAAGUGUUUUACUAGUAAUUGUGGGUCUUUUAUACAUUAGGGCAUUAGGGUGUCACCGACUUCCUCAAAGUUCUUAUAACUAGUUACAUAUUACUGGGUAAGUUAGCUGUUAUAAUUAUAUGUUGUAUAAUUCAUAUAGUUGACACCACUUUUUGGGAGUAUACAAGAUAUGGCAGUUUUACUAAAAUGACAAAUACAUGUAGCAAGCGUCCUCCGAAAUCAUGAAAAAUAAUGAUAUAUAUUUAUGUCCUUAUUUCUCAAUCAAACAGCUGUGGUCUAAGCACUCCCCGUUUACUUCAAUGAUAAUAUGAAGUAAAUGACAAUUUUACUGCCAUCUGCUAUAUAUAUAUCCCCGAUUCACAUUUCCCCACCACCAUUGCACUAACACUUGCCUUACAGACCUGUGCACACUGAAUCUCACUGCUUCUUAUACAAUGUCUGCUCGUCAUUGCACUUCACUCCGACAUAACAACAGGAAAUCUAAUCUUCAUUCCUGAUCUAUUAAUGUCAAAAGAGACUUAGCAAAUCCUAGAUUUCAAAUUAUGAACAGAGGGCAUCCCAAUAACAGUAAUAUAUACAGUAGGUAGAUUUGCUAACAUGUUUACAGAAGAGGAGAAAGUGAUAAUGAUGAGUUGGGCAUUUCAUUGGUAAUUCAAAUGAGGUUAUGACUAACAUUUUGCUAUGAGAUAUGUUGUUAUGACAACGUAUGUUAUGACAACAUAUGCUGCUAAUGACAUCAUAUGUUGCUGUUACAUCACAUGCCUGCUAUGAUUAUAUAUUACUAUGAUGUCAUUUGUUGCUAUGACAUCAUGUAUUGCUAUGACAUCAUAUGUUGCCAUGACAUCAUGUGUUGCUAUGACAUCAUAUGUUGCCAUGACAUCAUGUGUUGCUAUGUUUAACAUGUCACUGUGACAUCAUAUAUCUAUAUGGCACAUCUAGCUAUACAAAACAAUACAGACAUCUACGGCUGACAACAUCUGAUUGAUGAGAAUACAAUACAGACAUCUACUGCUGACAACAUCUGAUUGAUGAGAAUACAAUACAGACAUCUACUGCUGACAACAUCUGAUUGAUGAGAAUACAAUACAGACAUCUACGGCUGACAACAUCUGAUUGAUGAGAAGAGUAUAAACAAAGAAACAUGAACAGUUAUAAACAUUAAUAAUAGUAUAAGAAAGAAACACCUUUCCCAAAAAUUGUUUAAGACAUAAUAAAAACAAUAAAAAAAUGUAAGACCACUGAUUUUUAGUUUAGAAAAAAGGCAGAAAUAAAUUAAGAUAUCACUCAUUAUUUGAAUUGAUUUUAAUGACUUUUUAUUCCUACACAAACAUCUUAAGUACAUGUAAUUACUUGACUUACCUGAACCUUCCUGUAUAUGGCACCAGCAAUCUACUUAACCCAAAACUUAUUACAACGAUGCCUUCAUUUUAACAAAUUUCUGAGUCCAACAGCCUAUUACAGACAUGCAUGUGUACAAGCUUAACAUAUUUUAUUUGAAUAGCUAUCAACAUUAAGGUUUACAUUAGGUCAUCAAGUCAGAACUACAAGCAUCACUAAUGCUUUCUUGUGUAGCUUAAAUGGGUCAUGCAUUGGUUUAUCUCCUUCAUUUUCACCAGCUAUGUAGCUAGAGUGGAGCUCUUAAGUACAGAAGUUACAUUUCUGUCUAGUAUAGGUAUCGUCAGUCAGUAUUAGAACACUUUAAAAUUGACCUAUAGCUAAUUAACAUAAAAUAUGACCAGGAUUAAUACUUUAAUUUUAUUUGUCAUAAACAAAAUUAUCAUGAAUAAACCGGAGAUAUAUUUUGGGAACAAAAACCUAGGUCUCUCCCUAAUAGCCGAUAUGUAUAACUUGCUGGACAUUUAAUUCACCUUUGACCUAGAGGUAAAGCUUGGUCACGGCAAAGUAAUUACAGUUAUGUAGGUAUAGUUUAAGUUUAAUCAAGGUAUGCAAAGUCAAGAUCACAUUAGAAGAGAAAUCAGUCCUAAAAAUAAACAAUGUAUCCCUUAAUUGGAAUAUGAUAAUAUCAAAUGCCAUAAUUUUAUUUAAAUGAGAUGAAACAGGAAUGAAUUCUUAACAUAACAAAAAAUAGUAUAUCCUGAUAAAAAAAAAAACUUUUCAUAACUUUUUUUUUAUUUUUUUAUUAUUAAAGUUGAAAACAAAAUCAACACCGCAUUCUACAUAUUAAAACAUGAAGGAAACUAACAAUUUAAAUGAAGAGUCAAAGAAAAUGUGCCAUAAAGUCAAUACAAAUAUGGAAGGAAAAACAGGUACAUGCAUAAAAUUAAACUAAAGUGAUGGAAGGAAAAACAGGUACAUGCAUAAAAUUAAACUAAAGUGAUGGAAGG
RNAcentral lists this long non-coding RNA (5647 nucleotides) under Mizuhopecten yessoensis (Yesso scallop). RNAcentral's name for it is "uncharacterized LOC110452163". Lineage: Eukaryota; Metazoa; Mollusca; Bivalvia; Pectinida; Pectinidae. The record is from RNAcentral.